GACAGAGAGCGCAGCUCUGAUUGGCCGCUUGAGUUAUUUUGAAGGAGACGGGGCGCCGCGUUUUUUGUAUAGUCGCCCGGUUCGCUCGGCAAACGUGUACUGUGUAGAGUCUCAAGAUCAUUUGAGGUGGAUAUGCAUUGGCCCGAGUGUCGAUAUCUGCGCGAAAUUGGUGCGAAAGAAGGUGACUUCGGGGACAUCAAUCUUAUAAUCGGAAAACCAAGGGGCAUAAUAAGAAGAAGAAGAAGAAGAAGAAUAUACAAGCGAUUGCAUAAAGCAGAAGAGAGGAAAGCCAGUAUUUUGAGUGGUGAUUGGUAUCUAUCAAUUUGCAUUUGCAAUUCCUGAUUCGCAGUCAUCAUGCUGAUGUUUAUUUAAAAAAAAUCAAGGAUGCCAUAUGUGUUUCAAUUUGCCACACUGCCACUAUCAUUGCGACUACUUUCAUGCAUUCCAGGACAACUAGUGAUCCACUUGUGAGAUGGUCUGUUAUGGUAGCUGCCUUGGCCUUGGAGUGGCUGCAAUGGGUUCGCAUAGACAAGACCUUUAUGAAGAAUUAAGAUCAAAUUUGUAUAAAAAUGACGUCGUGACUGAUAAAGCGGCUAGAAUCGCUACGGAAAUGGUUAUACUGAGGUCCAAUUCAACGCAUGUGAUCAAAGAUAAGUUUAAUGCACAUU
Molecule: long non-coding RNA, 668 nt
Organism: Acromyrmex echinatior (Panamanian leafcutter ant)
Lineage: Eukaryota; Metazoa; Arthropoda; Insecta; Hymenoptera; Formicidae
Source: RefSeq, a predicted model, not a curated record